Molecule: ribosomal RNA, 191 nt
Filed under: uncultured Bacteroidota bacterium
Lineage: Bacteria; Pseudomonadati; Bacteroidota
Description: uncultured Bacteroidetes bacterium partial 16S ribosomal RNA
Rfam family: Bacterial small subunit ribosomal RNA
Source: RNAcentral
UACGGGAGGCAGCAGUGAGGAAUAUUGGUCAAUGGGCGCAAGCCUGAACCAGCCAUGCCGCGUGCAGGAUGACGGUCCUAUGGAUUGUAAACUGCUUUUGUACAGGAAGAAACACUCCCUCGUGAGGGAGCUUGACUGGUACUGUACAGAAUAAGGAUCGCGCUAACUCCGUGCCAGCAGCCGCGGUAAUA